Long non-coding RNA from Gallus gallus (chicken), 1663 nucleotides. The record is from Ensembl. NCBI's taxonomy places the organism in Eukaryota, Metazoa, Chordata, Aves, Galliformes, Phasianidae.
GUAUUUUAGACAUAAUAAUCUACACAACUUUCCUAAGUGGAACCUGACCUUCUCUCAAGAGUAGACAGUAGUUGUUCUACAGUGUGCUUGAAAAUGAUUGAAAUUGUUUUAAGAAUCCUUUUUUUUUUUUUGCUGAAUUUCUCUAUUUAAAUGCUAUGAACAAGUGUCUGGCUUUAGAUUAAUGAGUUAUUAAAUACAUUUUUGUAUCAAGUAACAGUAAUCUUGCUAGCAAAAUAGAUCUUGCAUAGCCACAGAACUUCUCAAUUUCUAUCAUACUGUAAUUACAAGUUGCACUUCUAAUGACUUCAGUCAAUUGGAAUGAGAAAGAAAUGUCAUGUCCAGGGCUCUUGUGUAGAGUUACAGCUGUCAAGAAUCUAACCUGGAGAGCAGAGAAUAGAAGGGGUUGUGUUUCAAAGGACCAUGGAAUCAUUAGAAUUCUUGGAGUUGGAAGGGAUCUUUAAAGGUCGUCUUGUCCAACUCUCCUCCACAAUGAACAUGGACACCACAGCUAGAUCAGGUUGCCCUGGGCCUGAUCUGGUCUUACCUUCGAAGUCUCCAGGGACAGAGCAUUCACAGCAUGUCUGGAAUACUCUCUGAAGCAUAGGAAUACAGCAAAUAGUUUUUCCUCCACUACUGUACAUUGGCUUUCACUUUUUUCACUACGAUAUGCAGAUAUGAAAUGCAGCUAAUGCUUGCUCUGAAAGGGACGGCUCAAUAAUAUCUGAGAAAUUUACUGGCUCCAGAUGUUCUUUGCAACAACAUUAUUUCUCCUGCCUAGGGGAAAAAAAAAACAAGGAAUGAUCCAGAGGAACCGUUGUUCUUCAGAUUUUCAGUUGUUCAAUAUGAUAUGUAAUAUGAAUGGCCCCUUCUAAGGGCUCACUAAAAUAAGGAAUAGCCUUGCACAGAAGAGUUGCUGAUUAUUAUUUGAAUGAAAGCCAAGUCACAGAGGAAAAGAAAUCUAGUUAGAUAAAAUAAUUUAGAGAUUAGUACUUUUCUACAUGUACGCUCUGCUUUAAGGAUAGAAUACAUUUUGAGAAUCAUGUUUCUAGCAGAAGCCUAUGACUUUAUCAGAAUGGUUCCAAUUCUGCUCAUGUCAGAUCUUUCUACAACACUGCUGUCUGGAAACUAUAUUUGUUUUGUACAGCAAGCUAGCUUAAAAAGGCCUUUUUCAUUCCCAAGGAUCAAUAUGAGCUACUUGGUUCUUUGUAGAAUUUUUUAUGAAGUAUUCCUAACCAAGGGCUUCAAAGUACCUCUAAUUUAAACUGCUGACUUGCAACUGCGCUUGUUUUACUCGGGAAUUUUUCCUUUUUCUAACACUAUUUUUGUAGCAAAGUAAAUCUGUUCUUUCUGGAAAUAGCUGUUUAAACUUGCAGUUCUGUGCAGUUCUUCUCUUUUGCUACAUUUAAGUUAAAUCUGUAAUGUUUAUUUUGGAAAUGAGUACACAGACCUAAGCACUAUUUUUGAUGGUUAUUGAUAUCAACUUUCUUCAAACCUGAAUCAUUAAAGCCACUCCUACUUACGUUCCUUUUCCCCCUAUUAUUGUUUCUAUAAUGCUUUUUUCUUGCCAUAUGAGAAAAAUAAACAGGCAACAGAACCUCUGUUCUGCUGUUCAUAUGCUGAAUAUAUACAGUCUUUAGUCAUUAUGACUGGGAAAUAAAAUCCA